This 891-nucleotide ribosomal RNA is filed under the name uncultured bacterium. RNAcentral's name for it is "bacterial SSU rRNA". It matches the Rfam family "Bacterial small subunit ribosomal RNA", at positions 11 to 914 of the family's 1533-position model. The record is from RNAcentral.
GUUUGAUCCUGGCUCAGGAUGAACGCUAGCGGCAGGCCUAAUACAUGCAAGUCGAACGGUGUCUUCGGACAUAGUGGCGCACGGGUGCGUAACACGUAUGCAACCUACCUUACAUUGGGGGAUAGCCUUUCGAAAGGGAGAUUAAUACCGCAUAAGACAGUAACUAGGCAUCUAGUAGCUGUUAAAGAUUUAUCGAUGUAAGCUGGGCAUGCGACCAAUUAGCUUGUUGGUGAGGUAACGGCUCACCAAGGCUAUGAUUGGUAGGGGAACUGAGAGGUCAAUCCCCCACACUGGCACUGAGAUACGGGCCAGACUCCUACGGGAGGCAGCAGUAGGGAAUAUUGGGCAAUGGACGCAAGUCUGACCCAGCCAUGCCGCGUGCAGGAUGAAGGCGUUAUGCGUUGUAAACUGCUUUUAUACAGGAAGAAACGACUCUUGCGAGAGGCAUUGACGGUACUGUAUGAAUAAGCACCGGCUAACUCCGUGCCAGCAGCCGCGGUAAUACGGAGGGUGCAAGCGUUGUCCGGAUUUAUUGGGUUUAAAGGGUGCGCAGGUGGUUUAUUAAGUCAGUGGUGAAAGACGGUCGCUCAACGAUUGCAGUGCCAUUGAAACUGGUAGACUUGAGUAAAGUAGAGGUGGGCGGAAUUGAUAGUGUAGCGGUGAAAUGCAUAGAUAUUAUCAAGAACUCCAAUUGCGUAGGCAGCUCACUUGGCUUUUACUGACACUCAUGCACGAAAGUGUGGGUAUCAAACAGGAUUAGAUACCCUGGUAGUCCACACUGUAAACGAUGAUAACUAGGUGUCGGCCGAAUCUGGGUCGGUGCCACAGCGAAAGCGUUAAGUUAUCCACCUGGGGAGUACGCCGGCAACGGUGAAACUCAAAGGAAUUGAC